UCAAGCGAACAAGUGCAUGUGGUGGAUGCCUUGGCGAUCACAGGCGAUGAAGGACGCGGUAGCCUGCGAAAAGCGGUGGGGAGCUGGCAAACGAGCUUUGAUCCACCGAUAUCCGAAUGGGGAAACCCACUCCGAAUGGAGUAUCCAUGACUGAAUCCAUAGGUCAUGUGAGGCGAACGCGGUGAACUGAAACAUCUAAGUAACCGCAGGAAAAGAAAUCAACCGAGAUUCCCAAAGUAGUGGCGAGCGAAAUGGGAGCAGCCUGUACUCUUUAUUCUCAUUGUUAGCCGAACGCUCUGGAAAGUGCGGCCAUAGCAGGUGAUAGCCCUGUAGGCGAAAACAGCGAGGAAGAACUAGGUGUACGAGAAGUAGGGCGGGACACGUGAAAUCCUGUCUGAAGAUGGGGGGACCAUCCUCCAAGGCUAAAUACUCGUGAUCGACCGAUAGUGAACCAGUACCGUGAGGGAAAGGCGAAAAGAACCCCGGGAGGGGAGUGAAACAGAUCCUGAAACCGCAUGCAUACAAACAGUCGGAGCCUCGUAAGGGGUGACGGCGUACCUUUUGUAUAAUGGGUCAGCGACUUACAUUCAGUGGCAAGCUUAACCGAUUAGGGCAGGCGUAGCGAAAGCGAGUCCGAACAGGGCGUUCAGUCGCUGGGUGUAGACCCGAAACCAGGUGAUCUAUCCAUGGCCAGGAUGAAGGUGCGGUAACACGUACUGGAGGUCCGAACCCACUAACGUUGAAAAGUUAGGGGAUGAGCUGUGGAUAGGGGUGAAAGGCUAAACAAACCUGGAAAUAGCUGGUUCUCUCCGAAAACUAUUUAGGUAGUGCCUCGUGUCUCACCUUCGGGGGUAGAGCACUGUCAUGGUUGUGGGGUCCAUUGCGGAUUACUACGCCAUAGCAAACUCCGAAUACCGAAGAGUGCAAUCACGGGAGACAGACAUCGGGUGCUAACGUCCGGUGUCAAGAGGGAAACAACCCAGACCGCCAGCUAAGGUCCCCAAAUAUGGCUAAGUGGGAAACGAAGUGGGAAGGCUAAAACAGUCAGGAGGUUGGCUUAGAAGCAGCCAUCCUUUAAAGAAAGCGUAAUAGCUCACUGAUCGAGUCGUCCUGCGCGGAAGAUGUAACGGGGCUAAGCCAUAUACCGAAGCUGCGGAUGCAUAUUUAUAUGCAUGGUAGGAGAGCGUUCCGUAAGCCUGCGAAGGUGCACUGGAAAGUGUGCUGGAGGUAUCGGAAGUGCGAAUGCUGACAUGAGUAGCGAUAAAGGGGGUGAAAGGCCCCCUCGCCGUAAGCCCAAGGUUUCCUACGCAACGUUCAUCGGCGUAGGGUGAGUCGGCCCCUAAGGCGAGGCAGAAAUGCGUAGCUGAUGGGAAGCAGGUUAAUAUUCCUGCACCAUUGUUGAAUGCGAUGGGGGGACGGAUCGCGGAAGGUUGUCCGGGUGUUGGAAGUCCCGGUCCUUGCAUUGGAGAAGGCGCUUUGGCAAAUCCGGGCGCGGAAUUCAAGGGUGCGAGGCCAGUCUCUUCGGAGACGAAGCAAUCGGAAGUGGUUCCAGGAAAAGCCUCUAAGCUUCAGUUCAACAAGACCGUACCGCAAACCGACACAGGUGGGCGAGAUGAGUAUUCUAAGGCGCUUGAGAGAACUCGGGAGAAGGAACUCGGCAAAUUGGUACCGUAACUUCGGGAUAAGGUACGCCCCUGUAGCUUGACUCGCCUGCGCGAGGAGGGUGAAGGGGUUGCAAUAAACUGGUGGCUGCGACUGUUUAAUAAAAACACAGCACUCUGCAAACACGAAAGUGGACGUAUAGGGUGUGACGCCUGCCCGGUGCCGGAAGAUUAAAUGAUGGGGUGCAAGCUCCUGAUUGAAGUCCCGGUAAACGGCGGCCGUAACUAUAACGGUCCUAAGGUAGCGAAAUUCCUUGUCGGGUAAGUUCCGACC
This 1935-nucleotide ribosomal RNA is filed under the name Paraburkholderia phenoliruptrix AC1100. RNAcentral describes it as "bacterial LSU rRNA". It matches the Rfam family "Bacterial large subunit ribosomal RNA", at positions 3 to 1988 of the family's 2925-position model. The record is from RNAcentral. Lineage: Bacteria; Pseudomonadati; Pseudomonadota; Betaproteobacteria; Burkholderiales; Burkholderiaceae.